Molecule: long non-coding RNA, 695 nt
Filed under: Theobroma cacao (cacao)
Lineage: Eukaryota; Viridiplantae; Streptophyta; Magnoliopsida; Malvales; Malvaceae
Description: long non-coding RNA (TCAC_LNC003006)
Source: RNAcentral
UUCCAUAAAAAUAAUAAUACUAAAUCUUAUUUAAACAUAAAUUUUAAAAUAAAUAUAAAAAUCUAUAUAUAUAUAUAUAUAUAUAUCAUAUCAUAUCCUAUCAUAUUUGUUUUACAAUAAUUUACUGCUCAAAGGACAAAAUAAAUAACGAAACCGAAACAGCAAACAAAGUGGAUCCAUAUGAUAAAACACAACAAAUUAGAGGACAAACAUUACAUAAUUAAGAAUCGCAGGUUUCAUUUUCACCCCAUAAAUAAAUUACAUCAAGAGAUUAUAGCAAAGAAGAAGCUAUUUUUAUGCGGAAGCCAAACCCCAAGAAUCAAGAAGUGAAGAAGAAGAUGGGGUGAAGAAAUAGGUGAAGAAGCUUGAAGCAGGCACAGGAGAAGGAGACGAACACCACCCCGUACGCGAUCCUCAGCCCCAUUUUUUCUUUCUCUGGAUCUGAGAUCUGCUUCCCUUCCAAAUUCACGAUCAAGAGAGAGAGAAAAGGACAGCAAGUGGAUAAGGGAGUAUACUUUGUUUUCGGGAAUUGUUUUAGAAAUGCUUGCAAUCUGGGGAAUGCGUGUUUGGUUUAUAAAAGCGAUUGAAGGAGCCACGUGGGUAAUUUGAUUGGAUAUGUUACGUGUGGGCCUUUGCCACACUGCAUCUAGUUUGGUUAAUGCUCAUGCCAUGACUCAACCAAAGCAUGAUUUUUC